Molecule: long non-coding RNA, 623 nt
Organism: Girardinichthys multiradiatus
Lineage: Eukaryota; Metazoa; Chordata; Actinopteri; Cyprinodontiformes; Goodeidae
Exons: 3
Source: RefSeq, a predicted model, not a curated record
UCGAAGUACCCAAAUCUUCUCUGCUGCAUCAGGACUGAAGCAACAUUGUUCCGCCCCUUCCUCACAUGUUGCUGCAUAUUUCAGCUAGCUGAACGAAGGCUUGAAUGCUUUUCCCUCACUGCCAAAAAAGAAGAAUUUGGAUGCCGGGGAGCAAAUGAGUGCCAGUCAUCACUCUUAGUAAGUCUUGAACAAUGCCGUGGAUAUUGGUGAAGUCAGGCAAACAAUAAGAAAAUCCCUCCAACAUGUUCACACAAUUGAAUUCUGCACGAGCUGCAAUUAUAUCGUUCCCUGAAGAGGACUCUUUGACGCCCUAAAAAGAGGUGAGACAGCGUCUGGUGUGAGGAUCAGGAAAAGCCAACCCACCUCCUCUGAGUCCAGAGAGCAUGGAUGGCUCUCUGAAGAGCUGGAACAGGAGGAGGUGUCACAGCUCCAUGGAAGCACUGCGCUGGACAUCACACCAGGAAAAACAUGACCAACAGGGAUGACAAGACAAAAAAGAGAGCAAGGCAUAUUUCUCCUUCAGUUUAUGACAUGCAUGACAAUAAAGAAACACAAACAGGAGACAUCCCUACACAUUUGUUUUUUAUUACAUCUCUAAUAUUGCCAUCACGGUAAGAUGACAA